This 243-nucleotide long non-coding RNA is filed under the name Mytilus galloprovincialis (Mediterranean mussel). Lineage: Eukaryota; Metazoa; Mollusca; Bivalvia; Mytilida; Mytilidae. The record is from RNAcentral.
AAUUUAUUACGAAUGUUGGUUGAAGGAAUUGCAUUUCAUUAUAAUGACAAGAGUUCUUGAGAUCAAGAUAUUAAUCUGUUGAAUUAUUCAUCUCAUGAAUAUUCAUUAAUAAUUUGCAUAUUAAUCUCAGUGUGUAUUUUUGAAAUCUCAGUGUGUAAUUAACAAUUCUCAGUGUGCGUUUUUCAAUUUAUUUCAUCUCAGUGUGUCUUUUUAAAAUCUCAGUGUGUAAUUUUGAAUUCUCAG